Molecule: long non-coding RNA, 1407 nt
Organism: Heteronotia binoei (common prickly gecko)
Lineage: Eukaryota; Metazoa; Chordata; Lepidosauria; Squamata; Gekkonidae
Exons: 3
Source: RefSeq, a predicted model, not a curated record
GAGAAACACCAGAAAAAGAAGCACUCGGGAGAGGCAAAGGGAAGCAGCCCCAUUAAUUGGACUAAAUCAAUGCCCGCCAAGCAACGGCCGAGGGGAAGGAGGCAAAGAUUUUGCUGCCGAGGGCAGUUUCCAAACAAACUCCUCCCGCGCCUGUGGCUCCCGCCCGGACCUUUCAAAGCGCCGCUCGUUCCCACAGGAGGCUGUGGAUGUAAAGAGUUCUCCCGUUCCGAUAAAUCCAGAAAAUUGGCAUUUCCCAAAAUAGUUGCCUUUGAGUCUAUUUUCAGAUAAUUACAGCCCUCGAGAAUUAGAAGCAUUAAGCGCACGUCGAGGCUUCUGCCACCUCCAGGGAUUCCAAGAAGCCAAAGAGCAGGAACGCUUGGCAAACUUUUCAGUAGGAAAGUUGAGAGCGGAGGAAGGCUUAAAGGAGCGGGACAGCACAGCUGAGUUCCCAGAACCACUGAACACCAUACUCCACCCCCAUCCCACGCCAGAGCAGCCAAUCAACACCAGAUGCCUCAUCACCAGCACAAGUCAAUACAGCUUGUGUGUGCACUUUAUUAAGUGCUUCUCUUGUAUUUUGGAGGAGCUGAAAUUCCAGGGUGCCUGCGGUUUUCUAGCAUGUCCUCUUCCCUCCACUUAGCUUUGUUGCUGCUACAGAUGCUAUAAAAAUAAUGUCUUCAAUAAUAUAUGGCCUCUCAGAUAGUCAGAACUCUCCUGGUGAAAUAUAGAUGAGAACACUCCUUCCAACCAGUGGCUAUGAUUCAUGUAUUAUUGCCUAGCCUGCAAAGGAUGCUGGGAAAUCUGGUCUAUUUUUUUUUUUUUUGUACCUGUUGUUUUGGUCCUCCUAGAUUGCAUCUGUAAUCCCAUCCCCCCACCCCCGCUCUUUGUAUAAAGAGCUACCUUCAUUGGACAGGAAUCUGGACUUCGCUGUUGUCCACACUGUAGCAACAACCCUGGGGAAAGGAGUGCAAUAAUAAUUAAAAAGUGUGCAAUUGUUGCAUUUCCAUCCAGGCUCAUUAGCUGAGCUGCAUGUCCUGGGUCAGCCCAAAGAUUAACGUAUCCGUCGGUCAGCUUUUGUCGCUGACCUUCAGCGCUUCUGUGUUACAAUCAGUAAUUCUACCACUAACCUUUCAUUCUGGGGGUAUAAAUAAUACAUCGCCAGGCCAACAAUAGAUAGAACAUGAAAGGAAUAUCUCUGAGCUCUGGAGUGAUGCCUUUUUAUUCAUCAUGAAAUGUUAAUUAUUGCCAGCCUUUAGUAGCUGUAAUUGGGGGGGGUGGGGAGGAGAAGGUGGAACAAAAAGACAUCUAUUUGUAUCUCGUGUCAUAUCAAAGCGCUUGGAUUCAGAAAAAAAAAAUACGCUUACUUAACUGCUAUAAUUCUUUUUUUGAUUAAAUCACUGAUCAGUU